GCUUAUAAAAUGUUUCCCUAUGACUUUUACAAACAUCCCUAAUGUUAUUUAUCUUUCCUCCUUCCUCUCCCUCUGUAUUGCCCUCUCUCUCUACUCCCCAGUUAAAAUCCCCUUUGUAGUUAAAGCCCCCCCACCCCAUCAUAGCACCUGUGUCCGGCUAUCCACCUUUCUAUACCCAUCCACAAUGUUCCCCUUUUACUUUCCUGGCUUCUCUGGUUACUUCAGGUUGUAUACUCAGAUCUAAAGAUUUGGGGCUAGGAUCCACAGAUAAGAGAACAGGUAAUGCUUGUUUUUCUGGGUCUGAGUUACCUCAGUAUAACAUUUUCUAGCUCCAUCCAUUUAUAUGCAAAUUUCAUGAUUUCCUUUUUCUUUACAGCUGAAUUGAGUUGCAUUGUGAGUAUGUACCAUGUUUUUAUUAUUCAUUCAUCAGUUGAAGGGGAUUUAGGUUGUUUCCACUUCUUAGCUGUUGUGAAAAGUGUCAAUGAAUAUGGCUGAACAAGUAUCUCUUUAAUAGGAUACAGAAUCCCUUGGAUAUAUAUAUACCAAGGGUAAUUAUCUUCGUGUUGUGUGUGCACGUGGACAUGCAUGUACCAUGGUGCAUGUGUAGAGGUCAGAGGACAAUCUCUGUGUCAAUCAUCACCUUCUACCUUGUUUGAGACAAAGUUUUGUUCAUCAGGCUGCCUGGGCUGUGAACUCUUGGGGAUUCUUCCGUCUUUGCUGCCUAACUCACUGUAGAUGUGCUGGGAUUAUGGAUGCAAGCCACUGCACAUGGUUUGACCUGGGUGCUAGGGAUCUGAACUCUGUUCCUCAUGCUUGUGUGGCAAACGGUUUACUCAUUGACCCCUCUCUCCCGUCCUUGCAUAUUUUGGUGGUAUCUUUAUAUAUAUGUUAAGACUUCUUUAUAAUUUUUUAUUUGCCUUCUUAUCAUUAUUAUUAUUAUCAUUUUUAAUUAUUGUUAUGUUUCAUGCAAUAUGUUUUGAUGAUGUUUUUCCCUCUCCCAACUCUUUCCAGAUCUUCCCCAUCUCCCUACCUAUUCAACUUUAUUUUUUUCUUCCUCUUAAAAAAACACCACAAAAACCCAAAAAUGAAAAUCAAAAUAAAGAAUCAGCAAGAAAAAAUGCCAAAACAAAACAAAAUGAAAUAACCACCCCCAAAGAUCCCCAACAACCCAAACCCAUGAAUUUUGUUUUGUGUUGGUCAAUUAUUGGGCCUGAGGCCUGCCCUGGAGUGUGGUUUAUAUACCUAGUAACACUCCAUAGGAGAAAACUGAUUUGCCUUUUGCCAGCAGGUAUCAAUUGCAAAUAAUUUUUUGGUUAGGGGUGGUACCCCAUGUUCACUCCCCUGUCUCAGUGCUGGGACCCUAUCUGUUCUCCUUCUUCUCUCACUCCUAUAUCUCUCCUCUCAGGUUUCUCCUUCUAUUAAUUCUUUCUGCCCACCAGCCCCGCCUAUCCUUUCUCCUGACUUGCUAUUGGCCGUUCAUCUCUUUAUUAGACCAUCAGGUGUUUUAGACAGGCACAGUAACACAGUUUCACAGAGUUAAACAAAUGCAACAUAAACAAAAGUAGUAUACCUUAAAAUAAUAUUCCCCAGCAAAUUCUAGAGUUUUAUUCAAGUAUUACUUAAUGAUAGAGAACAAAGGAUAGUUGGAUUGAUUUUUAUAUUAGUUCUUUGGUUUCUUUGUGUUAACUUUGUCUUCUGAUUUAAUAGAAUCAAAAUUAGAUACAUAUGUCUCAAUGAAGAGAAGCACUGUAGAUAUUGUUGUGUCCAAACCCUCGUCAGCUCAGCCACAUGGCAUGAGGCCUGUUUCUUACAGCUUAUUUGAUCAUGGUGUCUAAACUCCACACAGGCCAGGACUGGGUUCUGUGUCUUGUGGGACUAUUUCUUCCCCAGCCACAACUGAGGGUAUGUAGGAAGAAGUAUUUUCAAACAAGUAGUGCAUAUCUACACUUUUGUGGAGGCUUGAUAGUGAUCUUAUUAGAUCUCCGAGGCCCUAUUCUCAAUACCCCAUGGGCAUUCCCAAAGUCCUCUGAGUGUAUUACUUACUUGUCAUUGUGAUUUCAUGGAGAUCUUGUUUCCUGAUUUUAACUAAAUUCUAUGUGUAUAUAUUUCACCCAUUUCUACUGUAUUCAUUUUGCUGAAUUAAGUCCUAGUUGCUGGAAGGGGGAGGAUUUUAGUGUGCUGUCAGUAUGCUAUUCUGAUACUCAAUUGAAAUUGGUAAAGUGCAUUCCAUUUUCCUAUAGUGAAGUUUGUUAGGGUUAAAAAGGGUUUGCUAUACAAUUGACUUCUUGGGAGGCAUAGAAUUUAAAUUCAGAUGAUAGACCCAUCUUUCCCCAUAGAAUAUCCUGAACCAUAUGUUCUUCUAGAGUUGACAUCUCACUUGGCCAUAACUGCCAACUUCAGGUGACCAUUAGCAGGCUCUUUCCAGAUUGGAGGCAAAGGAUUGUAGUGGCCCCAAGUCCAAUCAUGCAUGUCUCCAUCACAAGAUAGUCAAUGGGGAGGCGAGUUGUAGGACAGAGUAUUUAUAUUUUUAUUGGAGGACAACUGUUUAAUUCAUUGGGAGUGAGGCCAAUUUCCAUUUCACUCAUUAUGCAUGUAAAAUUUCGUAUGGGAACAUGAGUUAAUUGGCACCAUAUUUCUGAUGUGUUUCAACUGUGUUGAGGGACCCUUUAUAGAUCAGAUCCCUUGUAGCUGCCCUAUGACCCAUCUUUUAAGUCCAGCUUGACUUUCUUCUUUGAGUUUCAAGUCAUUUUGCUGUGAAGCCUACAGUUUAAUGAAAGGAAAAUGCCAUCCGUGGCUUUUGCCGAAAUGGAUGUGACGAGCCUUUGAGUUGGUGGACUGUCCUUGUAGUCUUUUCUUGGUAGCAGUUAGUGUAAUGCGAUCUUUUCAUUCUAUUAAUAAUGUGUUCUGCAUGGUCACGUUCCUGGUUAAUUAGACUUACAGUUUUCAAUUAACAGCAUUUUUUGAUGAUACAUUAUUAUCCUUAUUAGUGAGGUCAUAGACUGUAUUAUAACAAAGACUGAAGACUCUAUUGUCAGCAUAAUCUUGAAAGAGCCAUUUAACUUAUGAAAUGUAUCCGGUGAAGGGACUUCAUGCUUGGCUUGAUGUAUAAUUUGACCCCUGUAAAGAACCAAAUGAUUCCUUUUUUCCCCUAUUCAUUUCAGAGUGUCCAGCACUUGAGAGAAUAUGGAUAUUUUUCUCAGUAAAGAUGAAUAACACUGCCAGAAAAUGAAAUUCAAAUUUUAAAAUUUUGAGCAGAUGAGCAGGCAGAUAUUCUUAUUCAACAAUUUAUCUUGUCUUUGGAUGAAAUUUAUAGUUCUAUGUGAAACUGAUUAACUCUAUUAAAUUUUAAUUAUUGUUCUAAAAUCAAUACUCUUCUGCACUUCAGGCAAUUUCAUUCACUCAUCUGAAUAAAGAGGUGGAUUUGGGUGGGAAACAAUCUUUUAGUUGACUUUAAAAAUACUCUAGUAUGGAUUGUUGUUGUGCAUUUUUUCUUUGUUUUAAAUACAAAAAAAGUUAAAGCAUGUGAUGGGUUUGUGAUACAUUUUUUAAAGUAAGCCAAGUCAAAGAAUUUUAUUAAGAAAUAAUGCAGUUUUAGGGGCUAUUGUGGGGAUUAACAAGGCAACUCCAUGUAGGUAAAAAGGAGGUUUACUUUGGGGUAACUUACAGCCAGUAAAGGGGUUGGUUACAGCAUCCGGGAGAGGUGAGGUGUAGUCCAGCAGGCUUCUCUGGAGAACUCUGCUCAGUCUGCCAUCCAGCAUCCAGGAUCAUCAGAAACCAAGAGACCUGGCACAUCCAGAUCUUGGGUCUUAAGCGCUCCUGGCUCGGCCCCGCCCCAGGGGCUUGUCAUAGGUAGGUGUGGCAGUUACCAGAAGCCUCACUAGGGGUAGUACUUCCAGGUCAAAGCUGGAACAGCUAAGGGGUAGAGAGAGGGCUCAGCACUUGAGCGCACUGGCUGUUCUUCCAGAGGGCCCAGGCUGAGUUCCCAGCACCCCACACAGGGCGGUUCAGAACCAUCUGUAACUGCAGUUCUAGGGGAUCUGACGCCCUCUUCUGCCACUUGCAUAAAUAAUAAAAUAAUAUUUUAAAAAAGAGUAUGUUCUCAAGAGGCGGGGGAGUGAGCAGAUCAGGAGAAGCUUAGACGUUCAAAUGGUAAUGAUGUCGUACAACGCAGACCCUGUACCACAGGCUGUUUGCGUCUGUGUAAUACGGACUUGCUCAGAUAGGUCCAGUUUAUCACGAGUCACAGGUCGCCUUCAGUCAUGCUGGAGAGCCUCUGUACCCACGCCAGCAGCGCCAGCCAGUCUUAGUUGGCCUUGGCUGGGGGGUUUGCAGCCUUCCUCUUUGCCAACCCAUUUUUUCUUACAGGCUAAUUUCUCAGCUUCUUCGUAAGGCCCCCCAGAUCUCACUCUCUUCUCUUCUCUCCUGCCUCAACUCUACUGAGAUUUGUGGUCCCAGAAAUCUUUUCAGGGAGCUAGAGGAUGGUCUACCUUCUUAAAGUUCCUGCUAUUGAGUACUGUAGCCUCUGGCCCAGAAGAAUGAUGAAACUUUCCUUCCUGUUCUAUCAAACGGCUGGAAACCAGGCUCUGGAUCCCUGCAGCAGGAAGUGGUCGGAACCCUUGCAUCACGGAGUUCAGUCUGCAGCUGAUGUAUCCUCCCGGCGACUUCAACUGGUACCAGCAGCUACUGGGGUCGUGUGGGCACCCACCAUUUCUGUCCCUGGAUGAGGAAUCUCACGGACAAACAGACAGCAGGACUGGAGGACUGCUGACUAAAAAGAAGGAGGAAACGUUGAGUUGUUGUAUUUAUUUUCUCACUGCUGUGAGCUGACAGGAAGCCACUUGAGACUGAAAGCCUCUGAGUCCUCAUCCAAAUGGAUCUCAGCUGAACUGUGCUGCUCAAAAGCCUAAAAGCUUAACCAGGCUCACGUCUUACAUACCUUUCUGCUUCCUGCCAUCACUUCCUGGGAUUAAAGGUGUGUGUCACCAUGCCUGGCUGUUUCCAGUCUGACUUUGAACUCAGAGAUCCAGACAGAUUUCUGCCUCCAGAAUACUAAGAUUAAAGGUGUGCUUCAGCAGGGCACAGAUUUUAUCAGUUUAAACUGCUGCCGUAUUCAGUGUUUGUGGCAAAGGAAUCCUUGACAGACUGACGAAAGCUAGAGCUGAUGGCAUAUUUGAUGUGACCAGUGGCCUUGAGUUCCUGCCUUAGUUUCUCUGCAAUGAUGGACUGGAACUUGAAAUUGUAAGCUGAGUAAACCUUUUCUUCCUGAAAUUGUUUUUUUGUCUGGGUAUUUUAUCACAGCAAUGGAAAUGAAACCAGGAUAGUGGUGUAUACAUGUGUGUAUGU
Molecule: long non-coding RNA, 5343 nt
Organism: Peromyscus californicus insignis
Lineage: Eukaryota; Metazoa; Chordata; Mammalia; Rodentia; Cricetidae
Exons: 5
Source: RefSeq, a predicted model, not a curated record